AUAACGUUCGGAAACGGACGCUAAUACCGCAUACGUCCUACGGGAGAAAGCAGGGGACCUUCGGGCCUUGCGCUAUCAGAUGAGCCUAGGUCGGAUUAGCUAGUUGGUGAGGUAAUGGCUCACCAAGGCGACGAUCCGUAACUGGUCUGAGAGGAUGAUCAGUCACACUGGAACUGAGACACGGUCCAGACUCCUACGGGAGGCAGCAGUGGGGAAUAUUGGACAAUGGGNNAAAGCCUGAUCCAGCCAUGCCGCGUGUGUGAAGAAGGUCUUCGGAUUGUAAAGCACUUUAAGUUGGGAGGAAGGGCAGUAAAUUAAUACUUUGCUGUUUUGACGUUACCGACAGAAUAAGCACCGGCUAACUCUGU
Molecule: ribosomal RNA, 368 nt
Filed under: unidentified bacterium PIA-3
Lineage: Bacteria
Description: bacterial SSU rRNA
Rfam family: Bacterial small subunit ribosomal RNA
Source: RNAcentral